UAAGCGUGUAGGCUGGUUUUCCAGGCAAAUCCGGAAAAUCAAGGCUGAGGCGUGAUGACGAGGCACUACGGUGCUGAAGCAACAAAUGCCCUGCUUCCAGGAAAAGCCUCUAAGCAUCAGGUAACAUCAAAUCGUACCCCAAACCGACACAGGUGGUCAGGUAGAGAAUACCAAGGCGCUUGAGAGAACUCGGGUGAAGGAACUAGGCAAAAUGGUGCCGUAACUUCGGGAGAAGGCACGCUGAUAUGUAGGUGAAGUCCCUCGCGGAUGGAGCUGAAAUCAGUCGAAGAUACCAGCUGGCUGCAACUGUUUAUUAAAAACACAGCACUGUGCAAACACGAAAGUGGACGUAUACGGUGUGACGCCUGCCCGGUGCCGGAAGGUUAAUUGAUGGGGUUAGCGCAAGCGAAGCUCUUGAUCGAAGCCCCGGUAAACGGCGGCCGUAACUAUAACGGUCCUAAGGUAGCGAAAUUCCUUGUCGGGUAAGUUCCGACCUGCACGAAUGGCGUAAUGAUGGCCAGGCUGUCUCCACCCGAGACUCAGUGAAAUUGAACUCGCUGUGAAGAUGCAGUGUACCCGCGGCAAGACGGAAAGACCCCGUGAACCUUUACUAUAGCUUGACACUGAACAUUGAGCCUUGAUGUGUAGGAUAGGUGGGAGGCUUUGAAGUGUGGACGCCAGUCUGCAUGGAGCCGACCUUGAAAUACCACCCUUUAAUGUUUGAUGUUCUAACGUGGACCCGUAAUCCGGGUUGCGGACAGUGUCUGGUGGGUAGUUUGACUGGGGCGGUCUCCUCCUAAAGAGUAACGGAGGAGCACGAAGGUUGGCUAAUCCUGGUCGGACAUCAGGAGGUUAGUGCAAUGGCAUAAGCCAGCUUGACUGCGAGCGUGACGGCGCGAGCAGGUGCGAAAGCAGGUCAUAGUGAUCCGGUGGUUCUGAAUGGAAGGGCCAUCGCUCAACGGAUAAAAGGUACUCCGGGGAUAACAGGCUGAUACCGCCCAAGAGUUCAUAUCGACGGCGGUGUUUGGCACCUCGAUGUCGGCUCAUCACAUCCUGGGGCUGAAGUAGGUCCCAAGGGUAUGGCUGUUCGCCAUUUAAAGUGGUACGCGAGCUGGGUUUAGAACGUCGUGAGACAGUUCGGUCCCUAUCUGCCGUGGGCGCUGGAGAACUGAGGGGGGCUGCUCCUAGUACGAGAGGACCGGAGUGGACGCAUCACUGGUGUUCGGGUUGUCAUGCCAAUGGCACUGCCCGGUAGCUAAAUGCGGAAGAGAUAAGUGCUGAAAGCAUCUAAGCACGAAACUUGCC
This 1305-nucleotide ribosomal RNA is filed under the name Escherichia coli. RNAcentral describes it as "partial 23S ribosomal RNA". It matches the Rfam family "Bacterial large subunit ribosomal RNA", at positions 1513 to 2798 of the family's 2925-position model. The record is from RNAcentral. Lineage: Bacteria; Pseudomonadati; Pseudomonadota; Gammaproteobacteria; Enterobacterales; Enterobacteriaceae.